CUGUGCUUAACACAUACAAGUCGAACGAUGAACCCCGCUUGCGGGAGGAUUAGUGGCGAACGGGUGAGUAACACGUGAGUAACCUGCCCUUAACUCUGGGAUAAGCCUUGGAAACGGGGUCUAAUACUGGAUAUUGACUUUUCCCCGCAUGGGGAAGGGUUGAAAGAUUUAUUGGUUUUGGAUGGACUCGCGGCCUAUCAGCUUGUUGGUGAGGUAAUGGCUCACCAAGGCGACGACGGGUAGCCGGCCUGAGAGGGUGACCGGCCACACUGGGACUGAGACACGGCCCAGACUCCUACGGGAGGCAGCAGUGGGGAAUAUUGCACAAUGGGCGAAAGCCUGAUGCAGCGACAGCCGCGUGAGGGAUGACGGCCUUCGGGUUGUAACCUCUUUCAGU
Molecule: ribosomal RNA, 397 nt
Filed under: Arthrobacter sp. 124-3.2-LH-A-65
Lineage: Bacteria; Bacillati; Actinomycetota; Actinomycetes; Micrococcales; Micrococcaceae
Description: bacterial SSU rRNA
Rfam family: Bacterial small subunit ribosomal RNA
Source: RNAcentral